This is a long non-coding RNA of Galeopterus variegatus (Sunda flying lemur), 367 nucleotides long. RefSeq lists it as uncharacterized. The transcript is spliced from 3 exons. The record is from RefSeq and is a predicted model, not a curated record. Lineage: Eukaryota; Metazoa; Chordata; Mammalia; Dermoptera; Cynocephalidae.
GGUGAUGGUUAUACGGUCAAGAUUUGGCUCUAUAAAGGAACAAAUCAGCACAGCGCUAUUUCUGACUGCUUGAAGCUCCAUUUUCCAGGAAUCCAAUUUAAGGGACAGCGCCUUAAUUUAUUAGAAUAUCAUGUGCCAAAAAGGUGGGGAUGCUUAGCCGACCUGUUCAAAGUUCUAGAAAAUAAUAAGACCUUCUUGAAUAUCAAGCAUUACUCCAUUAACCAAACCACUUUGGAGCAGGUAUUUAUUAAUUUUGCUACUGAGCUGCAGCACACUCCACAAUCUACUCUCAAUCCGUCCGCUGACUGUCAUCACCCACAUCACCUACCCAUAUAAGCACUAGAGAAGAAAUUUCAUGAGGAAUGAC